Molecule: long non-coding RNA, 244 nt
Organism: Perca flavescens (yellow perch)
Lineage: Eukaryota; Metazoa; Chordata; Actinopteri; Perciformes; Percidae
Exons: 4
Source: RefSeq, a predicted model, not a curated record
UCCAGCCAUCGACAUGUGAUCAAGACGUGCAAGGUGAAUCCAAGUUUCACGCUUCGCAGGACCGCACACUCGAUGACAGCUCCAGUAUACACGUCAGACCACUGCAACAGCAGCGCCCCUCUCACCACACACGGUCUUACACUGACAUCUGGUGUCGGACCACUGCAACAGCAGCGCCCCUCUCUCCACACAUGGUCUUACACUGACAUCUGGUGAUGGGGUCUGCAUAAUGAAGACACUGCCA